Molecule: long non-coding RNA, 5188 nt
Organism: Oreochromis aureus
Lineage: Eukaryota; Metazoa; Chordata; Actinopteri; Cichliformes; Cichlidae
Source: Ensembl
CUUCUGUAUUUUUUUGGAUUGUUUUUGAUGAUUAAAUUAUCAGAAUAAAUUACAAAAGUUAAAAAUAUUAACAGAAAUCAACGGAAAUAAUAAACAGAUCAAGUUCUUUCUUUUUUUUUCGUAACACUGCCGGCAGGAAGGCAGAGAGAACAGGUUUUUAUGUUCUAUUCAAUUUUAAUUAUACAGCGCUAAAUCACAACAACAGUGGCAGUCUCAUGGCACUUUAUAAUGUAAGGUAGACCCUACAAUAAUACAUACAGAGAAAAAUCCAACAAUCCUAUGACCCCCUAUAAGCAAGCACUUUGGCGACAGUGGGAAGGAAAAAAAAAAAACAGGCUCAGGGAGGGGCGGGGCCAUCUGCUGCGACUGGUUGGAGAAGGGUCUGGCUGCAGCCACUGGGGAGCGCCAUAUUGGGACCUCCACACUAACCGGAAACACGUGACCUCCACAGUAGCCGGAAACACGUGACCUCCACAGUAACCGGAAACACGUGACCUCCACAAUCGGCAGAAAUACGUUCCUGCGUGCAUCAUCGACUGUGGAAACCUUGCAAGUGGAUCGUAAAGAUGCACAUAUCAAUUUGGAAUUCUGCCUCCAAGCCAGAAUUGCAGGAAUGCACCACGUGUUGCCGAAGACUCUUUCACUGCCCUCUGUGCCCCACUUUCAGCCCUACUGUCAGGGCAAAGAUUGAGGAGCAAAUAAAUGGACACAUUAAAAAUGCUUUGCCUUUCAAAGACAAAAUGAUAUGCUGGUGCACUUUCACUGCCCUGUCUGUAACAUGACAAUCAUACAGCGUGGGGAUAUGGCAAGGCAAAUAUUGUCAUGUCAGCGUUUAGGACUGCUCCCCACUGCACUCUCCGUGGAGCCACAUCUCCCUCUCGAUGUCUUGUCUCCAGCAUCUAAACCAUUUUCUGAAUCUUUGGUAGAACAUUCAUGUGCUCUACCCUCUGUGCUCUACCCUCUGUGCUCUACCCUCUGUGCUCUACCCUCUGUGCUCUACCCUCUGUGCUAAAUGAAACUGUGGCUUGUGGAAAGUCUAUGGAAAUGAAAUGCCCUCACUGUGGUCUUAGUCUUCUUACAAAAAAAAAAAACAAGGCUCACAUGAUGAGGAGGCAUUCAAACAGAUCAAUAGAUGUUUGCCUGGCCUGUCAUCUGCAGUGUUUUUGUGUAGAGGGACUUCUUCCUCUUUGUUUUUCAGUUUGCAGAGGACAUGGAGCUCUUUUUAAAAGCAUGUGCUGACGAGCAGGGACUAUGGGUCAAUGCGAUGUUUGACAUUUAAUGGACAGAAGAAGGCACUAGCUGUUUGUUUGUGUUUUUUAUGUGUUGUUUGUUUUUCAGUGUACAGAAUUCCAGUUAAGCUUAUUAUAAAAUGUUGUUCACUUGUUUCCAUGUCCAUACUAAUAGUAAAAAAUUUAAGUGUAAAUGUAACAGCAUGGUUUAUACUUGUAACUUCAAAGUAAAAAGCUUAUUGUUGAUAUUAACAUUAAUGUAUUACCCUGUAAUUAAUAAUAUUUUUAUACAUUUUACGCAUUAACACUCUGGGCUCUAUCCUGUCCAUUUGUGGCCACUUCACUUCUUCUUUUUUGACGACUACACUGCAGUGGACCAAAAGAAUGACACAGGUUUGAUCUUAAGGAUCUAAUAGUUGUGUGUGUUUGUGCAUGACAUUGCAACGCAAAUAUGUAUUUGCAAGAUAGACUGGGAAUAAAUUAUGACCCAUCAAAUAUUACACAGGCUGCAGUGAAUUUUUGUUGAUACAGGUUAUUGACCUUUGUGUUUCCCAGUCAAACUUAGCUUUGACACACAUGCUAACACUUUUACUCUUGUGCAUUUCAUAACAAGACACCAUAGCCAAAAUAUUAACUCUAUCAAAAAAAUUCAAAGCUGCAGCUGCAGCACACACAGCAACAAACACUGUUAGUAAAUGUAUCCUGGGGUUUAUGCAGAUGCAAAAAGUGCUACUGCUGUAAGUAAGCCUAACAGCUUCCAGAUCACUUAUCUUUCUGGAAAGAUGGUAAGAAAGGCAUCACUGCUCAUCUCUACAAUCUCCCAGAUCUUGGAAUACAAUGCCUUUGUCCCAUGAAAAUCACUUCACAGUACUAAGAGUCCACUAAAACCUACAAAUGAAGAGUGAUCCUGGAAGAAAUGGGGUGUACACUAGUGACCUCAACAAUUGCAAGACAGCCUUGUCCCCGAUGCAAAUAUAUGAAAAAAUAAAAUACGAAGAUUUAUGAAACCAUUAGGACUUUAUCACUGUUUUAUCUGAAAAGUUACUGGUAAUAUAUAACCUAACUGGCAUUUAAAGUGUAAAAAACAGAAUGUAGAUAAAAUUUUGGUUUUGCUGAAAAGAACUGGAGCCAACUUUAUUUUUUACAAUUAUUGUAGCUGUUUUAAGACUGUAAAACCCCUCACUACAUGCUUUACACACUUUCCUCAGACAGGCACGAACAUUUUCACACUUUUUUCUUUUGUUUAAACACUCUUAAAGUUCAAACCUUCGUAGAAACACAAGUCCAUUAUAAAAUCAAACCGCGCAAAACGUUUGUUUCGUCGGCAUUGUUGUGUUUGUUGGGGAGAAAACUUACAAACAUACAGUAAAGCACUUCAGAGUUACAUUGCUAGCGAUCGAAGAUUUAUAUAAAUUCGACAAACUAAACUCAUUAUGUACUGUACAGCAGCGGUCCCCAACCUUUUUUGCACCCCGGACCAGUUUAAUGUCAGAAAAUAUUUUCACGGACCAGCCUUUAAGGUGUCGCGGAUAAAUACAACAAAAUAAAAUGAUACAAAGACAAAAACGGUGGUAUUUUGUAAAUAUAAUAAUAAACGCGAAUUCACUGUAUGAUUGUGUAACUUUAUUAGCAGGGUCCUCCUGAAAUGCACCAACAACAUUGAGAAUAACAUCCUCCUCUCUGCUUCUUAAUGCUCUCUGGUCGCUAUGGUAACGCGUAAAUAGUUCUUUCAAAAUAAGACACACGACUACAACACGGGAAAAGACCCAGGGAACCCGACUUAACGAUUAAAAACCCUGAAAAUCAUACACUUCACACCCGAACCUCAACUCUCGCGGCCCGAUACCAAACGGGCCCGGGUGUUGGGGACCGCUGCUGUGCAGAAGACACGGCACUAGAUUGAUUGACAAUGGUCUACAGCAAUCAGAACGCACAAAACAAUGUGCUGUUAAGAAGAAAAAAAAAUCAGCGAAACAGCGAGUCCGCGAAAGGUGCUGAUAAAUAAAUUCUAAGUGUUUUUUUUAACAAUCUGGGUUAAAAACACUUAGAAUCAAAUUUAUUUAUCAGCAGCAUCAAUAGUAACAAAAAUACAAUUUAGUUUUCGCUGUCAAAGUCGAUUUAACUGAAGUUACGUGCUUCCGGUUACUGUGGAGGUCACGUGUUUCCGGUUACUGUGGAGGUCGCAAUAUGGCGCUCCCCAGUGGCUGCAGCCAGGUGCUCUUGACUGGUUGGGGUGAGAGAAAAAAGACAGGAUUGAAGACUGUGGAAGAGGCUGUGGAAGAGAGACAGAGAUUAAUAACAAGUAUGAUUCAAUACAGAGAGCUCUAUUAACCAGGGCGGUUGCCCGGGGAGGCAUCGUGGUGGGGCCAGCAUCACGGGCAUCGGCAAAAAAAAUAAAUAAAUAAAAAUUACUCGUACUCAUGCUGCCCCGACAUCAUGCCAGCGCAUAUUGGGAAUGGCAUAGGCACCGAUCGGUUUUCUAUCGCCAAUUUGGGAGUAAGGGGGGGUAUGGGCUCAAAAUGUGGUCAUAAAUAUUUUGUACUUGUAAAUCAGGAUUUGUAUGUGUAAAAAGAAUUUGUGCGUGCGUAAAAAAGAUUUGUAUGUGUAAAAAAGAUUUGCGUGUGCGUAAAAAAGAUUUGUAUGUGUAAAAAAGAUUUGUGUGUGGACUUAGCCAAAAAAAACCCUGCAAGUUACAAGUACGAAUUUUGACCCUAUUUUUCUUCCUGUCAUCUGAUUGGUCAAUGUCAUGUCAAUCACAAAUGUAACAAUCCAAUCAGAGAACAGAUGGGUUUGGCUGUCGGAGGGGCACUUUUUUGAACUGCAGGUCCUUGAAGGGAGUAAAUGCCCUUUCACAUGCCAACCCAGCGAAUACAGCGUAUUUAAAAUACAAAAUAUGAACAUUUCGUUACAGUUACCGUUUAAAAAGGUGGUAUUUAGAAUACAGUUACUUUGUUGAAAUAAAUGGAUUACAUGGCUGUAUUUUCCUGUUUCAUAUUGUGGCAGGUCAGGACUGUUUGUGUUUUGUUCGACAGCUAUGUUCUGUUGUUCCAGGCGGCAGCGUUACGGUUGCAGUGGUUAAAGGGCGACGCUCUCUCUCUCUCUCUCUGCGACUGUGUGUUUCCUGGGUGAGAGCGCCUUUUUGUUGUUGUUGUUGUGCUAAGCUAAUAGGCAGAAUGCUACAGGCAUAGUCCUAAAGAAUGUAUCCAUAUGGGCAGUGUAGUCCGUGCUGCAGGGAGAAUGGACUGCCAUACACGUUAUGUAUCUGUGAGUGCAAAGAGGGAGAAAAAGGAGAGUGGAAAAGUAGGAGUUGUCAUAGAGCAAAAACGGGAGCUGGAAGCAUGUAAAUAUAAUAAUAAUCACUGCAGCCAAGAAGAGUGCCUGACGAGCCCAGUUGUAAGUAAGCUAUUAAGACUCGACAGUAUUUGUGUUUUUCUCCAAAACAAAAAGUUCCGUUGGAGCAGCUUUUCAAAGCCUCUCUCUGUCUCUCGCAAGCACAGUUGUCUGGGUCAACUUUGCUUGCGAGAGACCCAGGGGUUCUGUGUCAGCUACGAGCCCAACACGGAACCGACGUAUUAGCCAGAGGUCCCUUUAGGUUCGGAGCUGCGGACCUUCAGUAAUAGUAAUAAAUCACACAGCAAUAGUGCAUUCACGUACUGGUGAAAACCAUGAUAAUAAUAAUAUAUAUAAUAAUAUUAAGUAAUCCAAAGUAUUCAGAAUAUGUUACUGUCAUUGAGUAACAUAACAGAAUACGUUACAAAAUACAUUUUGGGGCAUGUAUUCUGUAAUCUGUAGUGGAAUACAUUUUAAAAGUAACCUUCCCAACACUGCACAUAGUGAGUGAGGAGUGUGAGUGAAGAAGAAAUACUCAAUGCGUCAUGGGAAUCCCCCAGCAGCCUACACCUAUUGCAGCAUAACUAAGUAACUAAGCAUCACUAUGAGACAGGAUAUUUCUAAUUUUA